This is a ribosomal RNA of Chelonoidis abingdonii (Abingdon island giant tortoise), 103 nucleotides long. NCBI's taxonomy places the organism in Eukaryota, Metazoa, Chordata, Testudines, Testudinidae. The record is from Ensembl.
CAUUCUAUUAACAUCUUCUCAUCAACCUGAUAAGCUAAGUGAGAUCUAGCCUGGUUAUUACUUGAAUAGGAGACUUCCAAAGAAAUUCAGAAUUUCAGAAUGC